RNAcentral lists this long non-coding RNA (457 nucleotides) under Panax ginseng (ginseng). Its description in RNAcentral is "long non-coding RNA (PGIN_LNC016878)". The record is from RNAcentral. Lineage: Eukaryota; Viridiplantae; Streptophyta; Magnoliopsida; Apiales; Araliaceae.
CUUGAUGCAAGACAAUCUUUAAAAGAUUUGGGUUCCAAACUCCAAAGUCUGCUGGUGGUUCUCUAUAUCUCUAGUUCCGUUUCUUCUGUGGUUGCCGAAGAUUCUCACCGUGCAAUGGUUAUGAAGGACAAUUACUGUACUUCAUAACCCUUUCAAAAUUUCAACUACUGCACACUUUUAGCAAACCUAUAAUUACAUGUGCUGCCUAAUCGGCUGUGGCUUUGAGCACCAGUUGGAAGUUGUUUACCUUGUCUCUUUGGUUUCACUCUCUUCUCUCGGCUGUCGGCUUUUUUUAUUGUUCUCUCUCAGGGGUUCGUACGCUGUGUGGUAAGAUGGUGAUUAUUUGCAGGUUUUCACUCGCAUUUCCUUUCCAUCAUAGAGUAGAAUUCUUUCUGCUUGUUGCUGGAUUUUAAUGGCAAGGUGUGUUUAUCCUGUUCUUCAUGGGCCUGUUGGUGUA